UAGGGAAUCUUCGGCAAUGGGGGGAACCCUGACCCAGCAACGCCGCGUGAGUGAAGAAGGUUUUCGGAUCGUAAAGCUCUGUUGUUAAGGAAGAACGAGCGUGAGAAUGGAAAGUUCAUGCUGUGACGGUCCUUAACCAGAAAGGGACGGCUAACUACGUGCCAGCAGCCGCGGUAAUACGUAGGUCCCGAGCGUUGUCCGGAUUUAUUGGGCGUAAAGCGAGCGCAGGCGGUUAGAAAAGUCUGAAGUGAAAGGCAGUGGCUCAACCAUGGUAGGCUUUGGAAGAUGUUUGACUUGAGUGCAGAAGGGGAGGGGGGAAUUCCAAGUGGAGCGGUGAAAUGCGGAGAUAUAGGGGGGAACAACGGUGGCGAAAGCGGCUCUCUGGUCUGUAACUGACGCUGAGGCUCGAAAGGGUGGGGAGCGAACAGG
This 429-nucleotide ribosomal RNA is filed under the name Verrucomicrobiota bacterium. RNAcentral's name for it is "Verrucomicrobia bacterium partial 16S ribosomal RNA". It matches the Rfam family "Bacterial small subunit ribosomal RNA", at positions 355 to 776 of the family's 1533-position model. The record is from RNAcentral. Lineage: Bacteria; Pseudomonadati; Verrucomicrobiota.